Long non-coding RNA from Apis laboriosa (Himalayan honeybee), 1207 nucleotides. RefSeq lists it as uncharacterized. NCBI's taxonomy places the organism in Eukaryota, Metazoa, Arthropoda, Insecta, Hymenoptera, Apidae. The record is from RefSeq and is a predicted model, not a curated record. The transcript is spliced from 3 exons.
AGAUGUUCAAUUUCGAUUUUCCAGCGUGUAAACUAAUUUUCGUGCGGUUCCAAGCUGAUCGUUAAAUCAACUCGGUCGUUAGAAGCUCGAUAAUUUCGUCUGAAAACAUCGGGAUGCGGAAAUGUCGCUAUGACCUAAUUUUCGAAGCGAUUUAACGCGGUCUUCGUUUACGUUCAUCGUUGUCCAUGGAAUAUUCGAUAUCCAUGAUGGAUACGUGAAUGAAAUGAAACUGGAAACAAUCUUGUAAUUUAGCAUACAUCACGUGUGUAUAAUUUUAUAAAAUUGAUUUGAUAUCGAUCGUAAAGAGAAAUUAUCAAUGAUUACAUUAUCCAUGUGAAAAGUAUAAUUUGAAUUGGAUCAACGAAAAAGUUUGAUUUAUUAUUUUAUUUCCGAAAUUAUGUUCAAAUAUAUGAGAAAAAACUUUAUUUUUUUUUUAAAUAUAUGUAUAUGUGAUAAUUAUUGUGAAUAAUUGUUGCUGAAUGAAAAAAUUAAUAAGAAAAUGUACGUGCGAUUCUUUAGAAAGUGAUUCUUUUCAAGUGGAAGUGCUUCUAAAAUGGCUUUUAUUGAUUUUCAAGAGUUCUUCUCAAACCCAAAUUCUUUGUUAAUAUCGUUAGUAUAUCAAUCUGCUACAAUUUGUAUAUAAAUUCACUUAUAACCAUCGAUCAUGUACAUUGAAGUUGAGAUAUUUUAGUAAAAAUCAGUAGAAAGAAGGUUAAAUCAAUUUCAUUUCCCUAAUUUUAUUUACAUGAUCGAUCAUCGUAAAUAUUUAAAAGAGAUAAUAAAUGCCACUUUGAAAUGAAAAACAAAUGAUCUGAAAAUAGCCUUGGCAUCUACGUUCGUCAAUCUCUUUGCCUUCGUGUUCCUACGCAUUAUUUAUAAGUUAAAAUGGGUCAGCCUGUAUUUUACAGCACAAAUACAAUAAUUCAAUAGCAGUGAUUUAACCUGAUUAUAACGAGACAAAUGAAACGAAAAGAGAGAAUUAUUUUUUGUUGAGAGUAAGAGAUGAAUGUAAAGGAUUUCAAUCUCUCUCGGUACUUUUUAAUAAACUUUAAUUCCCACGUGUUUUAAUAAAUAAGUUAUAAAAAAGACCACAUUGAUGUCGUUUUAUGAUGUCUAUCUACGAACGUUCAAUUUCGUCUUUAUCACAGCUAAGGCUGUUAACCUGGGUUAAACUUUUUCAUUCUUUUUACCGACAUAUUCGAAUGAA